RNAcentral lists this ribosomal RNA (253 nucleotides) under uncultured bacterium. Its description in RNAcentral is "partial 16S ribosomal RNA". It matches the Rfam family "Bacterial small subunit ribosomal RNA", at positions 524 to 776 of the family's 1533-position model. The record is from RNAcentral.
UACGAAGGGGGCUAGCGUUGCUCGGAAUCACUGGGCGUAAAGCGCACGUAGGCGGACUCUUAAGUCGGUGGUGAAAUCCUGGAGCUCAACUCCAGAACUGCCUUCGAUACUGGGAGUCUCGAGUCCGGGAGAGGUGAGUGGAACUGCGAGUGUAGAGGUGAGAUUCGUAGAUAUUCGCAAGAACACCAGUGGCGAAGGCGGCUCACUGGCCCGGUACUGACGCUGAGGUGCGAAAGCGUGGGGAGCAAACAGG